UCGAUGAUACGCGAGGAACCUUACCCGGGCUCGAACGGCAGAGGAACAAUCCAGAGAUGGUGCGGCCCUUCGGGCUUCUGUCGAGGUGCUGCAUGGUUGUCGUCAGCUCGUGCCGUGAGGUGUCGGCUCAAGUGCCAUAACGAGCGCAACCCUUGCCGUCAGUUACCAUCAAGUAGUGUUGGGGACUCUGGCGGGACUGCCACCGCAAGGUGUGAGGAAGGGGGGGAUGACGUCAAAUCAGCACGGCCCUUACGUCCGGGGCGACACACGUGUUACAAUGGCGGCCACAGAGGGGCACUACCUGGCGACAGGAUGGGAAUCUCGAAAAGCCGUCUCAGUCCGGAUCGGAGUCUGCAACCCGACUCCGUGAAGCUGGAUUCGCUAGUAAUCGCGCAUCAGCCAUGGCGCGGUGAAUACGUUCCCGGGCCUUGUACACACCGCCCGUCAAGCCAUGAAAGUCUGGGGCGCCUGAAGUCCGUGACCGAGAGGAGCGGCCUAGGGCGAAACAGGUAAUUGGGGCU
This 521-nucleotide ribosomal RNA is filed under the name uncultured bacterium. RNAcentral describes it as "bacterial SSU rRNA". It matches the Rfam family "Bacterial small subunit ribosomal RNA", at positions 951 to 1482 of the family's 1533-position model. The record is from RNAcentral.